This 253-nucleotide ribosomal RNA is filed under the name uncultured bacterium. Its description in RNAcentral is "partial 16S ribosomal RNA". It matches the Rfam family "Bacterial small subunit ribosomal RNA", at positions 524 to 776 of the family's 1533-position model. The record is from RNAcentral.
UACAGAGGGUGCAAGCGUUAAUCGGAAUUACUGGGCGUAAAGCGCGCGUAGGUGGUUUGAUAAGUUAGAUGUGAAAGCCCCGGGCUCAACCUGGGAGGGUCAUCUAAAACUGUCGGGCUAGAGUAUGGUAGAGGGUAGUGGAAUUUCUAGUGUAGCGGUGAAAUGCGUAGAUAUUAGAAGGAACACCAGUGGCGAAGGCGACUGCCUGGACUGAUACUGACACUGAGGUGCGAAAGCGUGGGUAGCGAACAGG